UCCACACCAAGGAAGGACUUGAAGAAGAGAUGAGUGACCUAGAUGAAGUAAGAUUGCUAGCUAAAAUCCUCUAGGGUGACCGGCCUCUUAGAGAGAAAGGGAGAGACAUUCUGUUCUCAUCUUUUCUCUAAAAGAAACCUUAAGGAUGAAAUGGCCAUAAAGUUGCCUUUAUACCACCUCACAAUGGAGUGGCAAACUUGCAAUUAAAGCAAGUUCACUACCCUUCUCAAUUUGGCCGGCCUUAAGGGUUUAUUGGGCUUUCAAGCCCUUUGUUUAUUCAAGUUGUCAUACAAGUUGAGUUAAUGGGCUUGACAUUUAAAUCCCAUUGGGCCUUGUGGCCCAAAACUAACCCGAGGUUUUUAACGAACUUUAUUCAUUUGAUUAAUUAACAUAUUAAUUAAUCCUUGCCAUAAAUAAUUAAACCAUUUAAUUAUCCUUACUCAUCUCCGUUGUUUCUUCAAUCUCUACCUUACAUGGUGUACGAUCCAUUAGGUUCCUUUUAGCGAGGCAGUGGGCGAUUAAAACUCUUUCAAAUCGAUUGUGAAUUGAAACUUACUUUCAAUUCUCCCUUUAGUGAUUAUACAUGUUUAGGGCUUCCACAAACCAUGAGUGAGACCUAGCAGUAUGUCAUGGUUACCUAAGCUAAUCAGAAGAGGUGGAGAACCUAUUUAGUGUAGGAUUACAAUGCAAUACGGUAUUUCUCUAAUACAAUACUCUUGACCACGUUGUUUGGUUUGAUAGUUUAAUCAUGUCUACUAUCCAAUGUGAUUCAUUUACUUAUAUGAUUACCUUGAAUGUGAUUUGUAACGACUUCCUAAAUCUUAUUCAUACUCUGGCCAGAGAUUCUUAAUCAUAUCAUAGAGUAUUCUUCCUCAAACGGUUUGAAGGUUAGAGAUCCCUUGUUGCGCAUUCACUUGCCUCCAUGGCUAUGUGACUUAACCCCAACUAUGCCGUGGACACCUUUUGACAGAGUGACUUUAACAUAGUCAAAGAUAAAGGACCUAACCACAAGACAAAUAUGAUGCCUCAGGUCAAAGGACUACUUUGCAUUAUCCCAACCAUGAGUUCUCAUGUGACAUGAGUAUGAGAACUCCUCGUUGAUCGUGUUCAGUGGACUCAUUCUCUAUUGAGCACCUACAUGCUUGUCUUGGUGUCAAUCACACCAAUGACUCGAGACCAGUCGCUCUCACUGAGAGAAGACACAACACGUAUUAAUCUUAACGGACUGUCAAUGCCCAAUUGGCAAUCCUAUGAUCAGGAACGUUUAGGAUAUGUAUACGAAAGAGAAUGGUCUCACGAAUCUAACUUCUUUAAAUUACAUUCUCCUAAUUACAUAUUCCUUGGACUUAUCGUUUAAGCAUAUAACAUUUAUAUGAGACGGCUUAAAACAAUAAUCUUUGCCCUUGAUAUUAAACUAGAUUAGUUUAACAUGUGAAAUGUCCGUAAAGUAUCAUUAUAUGAUUGGUUUUAGGGCACAUUUCCAACAAUCUUCCACUUGCACUAGAGCCAAUCAGCCUGGUCAUCAAUGAUGAUACCUCUUAUGUAGUCAUUUCAAAAAUGGUUGAGUAGUAGGCCUAGGCAAUGAUAUCUAUAUGUUAUCCAUAGAAGCAACCUUGAGAAUAAUGAUGUCACCAUUAUACAUGAUUCUCAAUCAUGUGGUUCAGUCUCUCAUUUGAGUUCGGAUCUUGAUGAGACCGUGAUUCCCUGGCUUGAGCUAUCGUCCCAUUAGUGUCGUAGUGUCGGUACACUGGAGACACUUUUUGGUUGGAACCGAAUAAAGAGUUCAUAAAUGAACUUUCCAUCCAAACAACAUUGUUGUAAGCUUCUAUAUGGCAAUAUAUUUUGCAUUCAUAAUGGAACACACUAAAGUCAUUACUUUUAAUGUUUCCAUCCAAAUAUCUCUUUAGUCAUAAUAAAGAGAUAUCUGAUUAUCUCUUCAUUCAUAAUGAAGAAACAUCCAAUAAAUGAUUAGAUUCAUAAUCUAAUACAUUUACGCUUCCAUUACGUUACUCUAAUUCUUCCUCAUUCUUGAGGAAUCCAUCCUUUAUUAUUUCUCAAAUACUUACGGAUUCACUGGACAGUUUCCAUGGUUCUGAUCCUGGGCUUGCAUUGAUAUAGUCUUGUACCGAUCUUGGUACAACUCAUAUCAACGUUUUUCCAUACAAUAUGAAAUACAUAAAUCACCUUUUUGCGUAUACAUAAAGGAUUCUAUUUACGCAUUAUUUCUUUGGGAGUCAAAGGGUACGUUCCCUUUGAGAAGAGCUACCUCCUAGUCUCACUAGAGUUGUUCUUCUAAUUGAAGUUUAUUAUCAUAUGAGAAACUUCCUAGCAUCUUUUGUUUAUCAUUAGGGCUUGAUAUAAUCCAAUUAUAUCCUGAAAUCUAUCAUUAUAGAUUUCCAUCCCAUGUUUAUAGAUUAUGUCUCCCAUAUACAUUCUAUCGUUAUAGAAUGUUUAAAGUCAUAACUUUAACGAAGAAGUAUUCUUUUCAUUUCCAAAAUUAAUAUAUCAUAUAUGUCUUAAAUUUUAGGAACAUGAUUAACUCCCACUAAUCUUUUGUAAACUUCGUAAACAAAAGAUUCAUUUACAUCUUUAUGAGAAAUCAAUUGAUUUGAUCUUUCUCUCAUAAGACGCUUAUAGUUCCCACUAGCUUGCCAAGAUCCAUGAUGGAUGGAUCUCUUUAACUUACAUGUCUUGUGAUUCAUAGUUUUAGACAUAUAUUAUCAAGACUAUCCUAAUAAUGGUUUCGGAAACCCAUAUUAUGUCUAAACAUUGAAUCACCAUUUAGUUGUAGCUAGCAAUCUUGGAAUUAAUUAAAACCAAGACUACGUCAAAGAUGGUUUCUUCCAAGUCAACCAUUCUCUUUGAUUGUAGUCACCUUAAGCUACCAAUUAGCUAUAAAGGUUUCAUUAUUUCGGGUCAAAUGGUACUUUACCAUUUCCUUGAGUAUAUGUCGUAUAUACACUUAAUGUAGUCAUAAGGAUUUUCAUUUUUAUUUCUUUCGAAUUAAGAGGUGUAACUCUAUGACAUAAUCAUAAAGUUCAAACCAUUCAACUGAGACAGUUUAUAAAUCCUUCUCAACUACCUUGGAGCUUGUGGUAUAGGAACUAGGUUGUUAUAUUUGUUGAUCACUAUCUUGUCUCUCAAAGAACCCAUUCUUUGAGUUCUAUCCCUCGUUCAUUCGCCCUAUCUUAGGCAAAUCCUAGUGUAGGAUUACGAUGAACUACCCAACAACAACAUUUGUUAGUUGGUUUAUAGAAGUGAUAUCCAAAUGUUAAUUUAAGGAUACUCACAAGAUAAUUCUUAAACAAAUAUUGCUUAUUAGCACACAACCCCAAAAUCUUAACAUGAUUAAGAUUUGUCUUUCUUUCCAACUACAUCCUAUGGAGUCAUGAAAAUUUUGGAAGAUCUUCUAAUUGACAAUCAUAUUGUCUUAGAAGUAUAUAUCCUAUAUAUAUGGGUAAUUGAUAACAUCCAACGAACUAAAUCUUAUUCGAGUUCGUUCUUCUCUUAAUGGAGAAAUCCAUUAUCAUAUGAUGCUUCUUUCCUUGAUAUCUUUCAAGGAAACUGUUCUAAAGUGUUACCUUUCCUUGGAUCAAAUCUAAGGAGGUAAAUACUUUAGACAUCUUACUCAUCAACUUACAUUUCUUGAAUUCUUUGAAACCUUUUGCAAAGUAUUCGGACUUGUGUUUAUUCAAAAUAAAUGAUAGUCCAACCGAGAGCGAUCUUCGGUGAAUGUCAUACAACAUGAGUAGUAUUAUGUUGUGGACAUGUGCCACCAACAUCUAAGUGAAUUAACCUCAACAACUUUGUGAUUCUUUCUUCCUUUCCAAAAGAAUAAAGAUUCAAACAUUUUGCCUCUAUACAAUUUUAACAAGAAGGCAUUGGAUCCGGAUCUAACGAUCCAAAGCAUCCUUCUAUGACCAACUCGUAAUUUAUGUUUUAGAGGUAUCGUCACUACCUUGCAACCUUUUAGGUUUUAAGCAUCGUUAUAUUCUAAACAGUUAACACUACCAUAUCAUCUCUACGAUAGAGAUAAUCAAUUAGAUUACAAUAAUCUAAUCAUUCAUUAAUAAAGAACAAUGUUUUGUCAAACAAAACAUUCAUCCAUCUCUCAUAGUGACGGAAUUAAGUUUCUUAAAAUUGGAAUGUAAAGACAAUCUUUGGUUUUUCCAAUUUCUUUGGUAGUUCAUAUGAGGAAGUAAGUAUGAUCUGCUUUCGCAGAGAUCUACAUUUGAUUCAUGUUCCGAAUGUGAAGUACUUUCUCUUCUUUCAUUAAUCUUCUACUUCUUAUUAGCCACACUUUUACAACGAUUGUAAAACAUAGUUACUAAUACGGAAUCAAGCAUUCAAGUAGAAGAACCAACUGUUUUGAACUUUAUAAGAACAAUUUACAACACCUUCGAAAGGUGUGUUCUUGACACUUGCAAGACAUUUCUUGCAAAUACCCCUUCCAAUGUCCAUCAUUUCAUAAAGAAAGUUUGUUCCCUUGGAGUUAUUUCCCCUUCUUCAUUUGACUUCUCCUUUGACUACAAUAGUCAUGGUCCCUAAACUCCCACUAUCUCUUUUGAAACUUAUUUCAAUUGUGUUAUACACAUCAAACAAUUUGAAGAGCGUGUGGUUAUUGUUCACUAUAUAGUUUACAAUAAACUUAGUGAACCAUUUGGAUAGGGACACAAAGGUGAAGUCCUUGCCUAGUUUCCGUCUCUAGAAGUGGUUUAACACUUCAACACUCAAUGAUUCAAAAUCAUCAUAAGUCCAUGUUGAUGGACUAUUUUUGUCAACCAACCAUUAUGUUCUAAACAUAUUACAAACUUUCAAGAGUUGUUUAAGGCAACUCUCAUUUCUUCAUACAACAAUUUGGAAGUGAAGAAUCAUGGCACACAAAGUGUCCAUGUCCUUGUGCUUACUUCUUAAGUUCCUUAUUCAUGUAACAAAGAAACGAGCACUAAUGUUUGCGUUAGCUAAGGGUUGUUCAAAGCAACUCUUAUUUCUUCAUACAACAAUUUGUAAUUGAAGAUUUAUGACAUUAAAAGUGUUGUCCUCUUUAUGAUAGAUUUAUCUAACAUGUUCUUCCAAUGAUACAUUAUCAAUAGGAAGAUUGUGAGGAUGAGAUUACUUAGGUACAUAUACAAGCCAUUAUAGACAAUCUAUGGGAUUGUAGUACCAAGUCCGAAAACUAAAGCUUUCGGCUUUUCUUUGUCAAGUUUUUGGAUAGCGUUUGCAAAUAUAUUGGUAAACAAAUACGUAACGAAUAUAAAUUGAUUUUAAGCCCAUUUGAUCCGGGUCUUUAAAUCAAAUAGCACCACCCACUAUUUUUGGCAAAUUCCAUAUCCCUUAUCGGAAUUCGAGAGUUUUGGAGGAAACUCUUAGUAGGGUAUGGGAGACUCACCAUUACCAAGCCCACCUCACAAUGAUAUGAUGUUGGCUAGCAUCAAUAAUAAUGAGAGAGUACGCUUACUCAUUUGCAUCUCUUGCAAGUACCCAUCUUAUUUGGCCUCUAGAGAAUGAAGCAUCACAAUGAUAUGAUGUUGGCUCCAUUGCACUUAGUUAAGUCAUUCCCACCAUGCAAGUUCAAGUAGGGGUUCAAGAACAACCUCACAAUGAUAUGAUGUUGGUCAUUCUCGUUGCCUACCUUCACAACAUCAUGUAUGCAUAUAGAACUCCUCCUGAGUGUAAGCACGCACUUUGUACUCCCCCAUGAUAGGGUGAAGUCGGUGUACGAGUCACAAACGAUCGGAGCCUACCACGGUGGAAAGCCACGAAAGAGUGUUCAAAGCACUAUCACGCUUAUCAACGAAAGAGGUCUCAUCACAUAUAAGCAUGCAUUUUAAUCUUAUUAAAACAAUUUGGUCCAAUUACAACUAUUAGUCCAUGUGAUUGAUUUAGUUAUAUAUAAUACUCCCACUAUGCUUGUAAAACGGUUUUUAAAGCAAGAGUAUAUAGUACUAUUAACAUAAGGUUUGCAUUCAUUGAUGGACUAUAUAGUUGCCUUAGGGCCUUAGGAUGACUAUGAACCUUUGAUUAGAUCCAACAUGAGCCUAGUGUUGAAUCUCGGUCUAGGGAUGAUGAUUGAUUUUAGUUACGCGUUUAAUCAUAUUAAGGCGUGUUUUUCCUAUUGGGCGUUGGACCCAACUACUCCAAUUUCAUGCAUAUCAAAUAAAACAAGAAAUGAGGACUUCAAAGUAAAGAAGAGCUUAUGCUCUUUUACAACAUUUGAUCAAAACAAAUUACUUUAAAGUAAAGAAGAGCUUAUGCUCUUUUACAACAUUUGAUCAUAUCAAAUUACAACCAAAAUCUAAUCUACACAUUCCCAUGGUUCAAACAACUUUGAGACGGCCUUUCACAUAGCUCAAUUAUCGUAGGCUUAGGUUCAUAAUCACCCUUUCUUUAAUUAAUUAACGCUUUAACUAAUUAAACUUGAAUGCAACAUUUUCAUUUGGUUUUUGUUUCCAUAGAAUUGAUUUAAAUGGAGCUAAAUGAAAUGAAAAUCCAAUUCUCAUUUAAAGAUACAAAACUACUUUGUUCUCAACUAAUUUGGGCCAAAUGCAAUAACCUCAAUUUUUUGGGCUAUGUUGCAAAACACAAACUUUUGAGGUCACUAUGUAAGAACACAAAAGUCCACUACUUCAUGUAAUUACAACUAGAACCCAAAAUUUUUAUCAAAUACAAAAACUUCAUUAAAGGAGCAAAACAAUUUGUCCUUUAGUGAUUUUGGGCCUUUACGUAAAAACGUAAACUUUCGGGUCAAAGUACAAAUACACAAAAGUAUCAAAACUUUAUGUAAUUGCAUAAAAGCCCCAAAAGUACCCUAUUUUAAUAGGGUGGCCGGUUGGUGAGAGUGAUAGUGUCAUAAAAACUUUUGAAUUUUUCAACAAAGUGAAAGGUGAUGGGUUGAAAAGGUGAUGGGUUGGUUUGAAAAAGUAGGUUUCCAUAAAACAUGGUUCCUUGAAACAAGGAAAAUGUGUAAGUGAUUGGUAUGAGUAUUUAUUGAAAAUUCAAACCAUCCAUCACAAACAAAAACUUUAUUCAACAACCAAAACUUUUGAAUCAAAAUACCCAACCUUUUUGUUCUUGCCAAAAACAUAACAAGAACAAUGAAGAACAUCCAUGAAAACCCAUAAGAGCUCCAUGAACAUUUUUCACCCAAAGCACCUUAAAAACUCUCAAACUUAAGGGAAAUAAGAUAUUACCAUACUACGGUACUUAGGGGUUCCUAAAGUCACCUUAAAACACUUUUAACAAGACAAACAAGAACCUAAAAGUCCACCCUUUGGAUUUGGCCGAAUUUCCCCAAAAACAUGGCACCAAGCUUUAGCUCCAAAAUUCAUGCUCAUAUGAACUACAUCUACAACAUUUGAGAUGGCAAAUUUUCUAACAAAAUUUACAUUCAAAGAAGCAAGAAUAAAGCUUGUAACAAUUACAACAUUCAAAUCAAAGACUAUGAACUACAAAACCCAAAAGGAUUCACCAACUACUCGACCUAGGCUCUUGAUACCACUUGAAGGAAAUUUUGUGAAAAACAUGUUCAUUUGAGCAACAUCUAUGACAUGCAAUUAACAAUUAAGGGCGGAAUCAUGCUUGUAUGCACUCAAAAACAAAACAUUACCCAUGAAAUUCAAAGCCUAGUAGAAAGGUGAACCAAGACUCAACUCAAGAACAGGGUGAGCUGAGAGAUUUUAUACCUUUGUUGAUUCCUCUUUGCAUAAGCAAAGGCUAAUCACCCAAGGAGAGGGCCUUCAUUCCUUGCUUCUUAGAUCCAUGGAUUUCUUGGAUGAGGAUGGUUGAAAGGAUUCUCCAAGUUCCCAAAAUUGAGAACCUCUAAUUUUUCCACACCAAGGAAGGACUUGAAGAGAGAUGAGUGACCUAGAGGAAGUAAGAUUGCUAGCUAAAAUCCUCUAAGGUGGCCGACCUCUUAGAGAGAAAGGGAGAAACAUUGUAUUUUCAUCUUUUCUCUAAAAGAAACCCUAAGGAUGAAAUGGCUAUAAAGUUGCAUUUAUACCACCUCACAAUGGAGUGGCAAACUUACAAUUAAAGCAAGUUCAUUACCCUCCUCUAUUUGGCUGGCCUUAAGGGUUUAUUGGGCUUUCAAGCCCUUUGUUUAUUCAAGUUGUCAUACAAGUUGAGUUAAUGGGCUUGACAUUCAAAUCCCAUUGGGCUUUGCGGCCCAAAACUAACCCGAGGUCUUUAACGAACUUUAUUCGUUUGAUUAAUUAACAUAUUAAUUAAUCCUUGCCAUAAAUAAUUAAACCAUUUAAUUAUCCUUACUCAUCUCCAUUGUUUCUUCAAUCUCUACCUUACACGGUGUACGAUCAUAUUCCUUUUAGCAAGGCAGUUGGCGAUUAGAACUCUUUCAAAUC
RNAcentral lists this long non-coding RNA (8357 nucleotides) under Malus domestica (apple). RNAcentral's name for it is "long non-coding RNA (MDOM_LNC011271)". Lineage: Eukaryota; Viridiplantae; Streptophyta; Magnoliopsida; Rosales; Rosaceae. The record is from RNAcentral.